UCUCCGGCAGCCCUCUCCACUCUUAAGGCGAAGAAACAAGCUUCCAAGGGAGGAAACGUGGCCAGGAAACUGAGAGGCCCCAUGUUCUCUUUCUUUGCUUGAUUUAUUUUUCCUAAAAAAAAACAGCCACGCGGCAAAAUAAUCCAUAUGUUACAGAUAUCCACCUGAAGAUGGCAACAUGGCAGGACAACUGGUAAACCAAGCUUAAGAAACAGCAUGAAGAGAAGCAGAUCAUAGUCUCUCCUGGGCUUGAAAAAUAUCAUGUGGAGGGGAAAAUCACAUGUAUUUGGGGGUGGAGGAAAAGGGACCCUCCUAUACUGUUGAUGGGAAUGCAAAUUGGUACAGCCUCUGUGAAUAACAAUAUGGAGUUUCCUUUAAAAAACGAAAACUAGAGCUAACAUAUGACCCUGCGGCCCUACUCUUGGGCAUGCCUCCGGAGAACACUCUAAUUCGGAAAGACACGUGAACCCAGUGUCCAUGGCAGCACUGUUUGCAAUAGCCAAGAUGUGGAAAUGACUUGGAAGGUGAAUGAAUGGAUCAAGGAGAUGUGGUGUGUACAAUGGACUCGUGCUCAGCCACGAGAAAGAAUGAGAGAACGCCAUUUGCAGCGACACGGAUUGAACUCGAGAUUAUCGUAUGAAGCGAAAUGAAGAAACUGAGGCCCAGAGAGGUCACCUGAGGUCACAGAGUCAAGAUUUGGCUGUGCUCGAAUCUGACAUAGCCGGACACACCUCUAUCGCCUGACACAGCCGUCCUCACAUUCUCAUUGUUCGUGGACACCCAGAGAGAUACAGAGGUUAUUUGAGGGAACAUGGGCUUCUGACGUGGCUCAGUGGUGAAGAAUCCGCCUGCCAAUGUAAUGCAGGAGACGUGGAUCCCUGGGUCGGGAAGAUCUCCUG
Long non-coding RNA from Capra hircus (goat), 899 nucleotides. RefSeq lists it as uncharacterized. NCBI's taxonomy places the organism in Eukaryota, Metazoa, Chordata, Mammalia, Artiodactyla, Bovidae. The transcript has 4 exons. The record is from RefSeq and is a predicted model, not a curated record.